GCCAUGCAAGUCUUCUAGUAUAGAGGCAUAAGGCUCAGUAACACGUCGGUAACUUGCCCUAAGGUCAGGGAUAACCUCGCGAAAGUGAGGGUAACACUGAUAGAGAAAUUCGUCUGGAAUGAUUUUUUCUCAGAAAUUCGUGCCUUAGGAUAGGCCGGCGGCAGAUUAGGCUGUGGCGGUGUAAUGGACCACCAAACCGAAGAUCUGUACGGGCCAUGAGAGUGGGAGCCCGGAGAGGGACACUGAGAAACUGGUCCCAGCCCUACGGGGUGCAGCAGGCGCGAAACCUUUUCAAUGCACGCAAGUGUGAGAAGGGAAUUCCAAGUGCUCAAGUUUUACUUGGGCUUUUGCCAAGUGUAAAAAGCUUGGCGAAUAAGGGGUGGGUAAGACUGGUGCCAGCCGCCGCGGUAACACCAGCGCCUCGAGUGGGGAUCGCGAUUAUUGGGUCUAAAGCGUCCGUAGCAGGCUUUGUAAAUGCUUUGUGAAAUCGACAGGCUUAACCUGUCGGCGUGCAGAGUAGACUGCAGAGCUCGAGACCGGGAGAGGUUAGCAGUAUUCCUAGGGUACCGGUAAAAUGGGUUAAUCCUAGGAGGACUACCAAUGGCGAAGGCAGCUAACCAGAACGGUUCUGACUGUGAGGGACGAAAGCUAGGGGAGCAAAACGGAUUAGAUACCCGAGUAGUCCUAGCCGUAAACGCUGUGAGCAAGGUAUUGGGCUUCCUACGAGGACGCCCAGUGUCGAAACGAAGGUGAUAAGCUCGCCACCAGGGAAGUACGGUCGC
Molecule: ribosomal RNA, 782 nt
Filed under: uncultured archaeon
Lineage: Archaea
Description: bacterial SSU rRNA
Rfam family: Archaeal small subunit ribosomal RNA
Source: RNAcentral